Non-coding RNA from Oryza sativa Japonica Group (Japanese rice), 1393 nucleotides. The record is from RefSeq and is a predicted model, not a curated record. NCBI's taxonomy places the organism in Eukaryota, Viridiplantae, Streptophyta, Magnoliopsida, Poales, Poaceae.
UUCAACAAGUUGUUUUACUCAUUCAUCGUGUGACACAUCCAACGAUCCAAAACCAACAGAUGAAGUUGAUCCGACGGCUCCGAUCGAUUAGAAAUCGCGCACCUCCCUCUGUUCCCUAUCAGCAUCGUGCAAAACGCUACCCCACCCGGCUCGUAGGGCGCUGAUCGCGCAACUCCUAAUCUCCUCUCGCAUGCGAUCGAUCCUCCGCCCUCCCGUACGCAUUACGGCCGACUCCCGACGCCUCCGCUUCGGCCAAUCGACGCCGUCAUCCUCUCUCGCCUCGCGCGCCGUCAUCCUUGCCGAUAGGAUUAUAACCGGGCAUCGGCGUCUGUCUCGCUGCCGUCACCCCGCGCCGACGGGUGUGGCACUGUGGCGUCCUGACCGUAUUCACAGUUCCUCACCACCUGGAUGGCCGAGAAGGAGGGGAUCAUGAUCGACCAGGUCGGCUGCACUGGUUGAAUUACCUCCAGCCUGACGUGUGACGUCAAGCACUGCAACUUCAGCGCCAAGGAGCAGCUGCAGAACCUCUUUGAUUGACCUGAUUCAGGGUUGGGCAUGCAAUGAUGGUCCUGUGACUACCCGAAGAGCACAAUCAAACAACAUGAUGUAAGCGCCAUAAAGUUGACAGACUUUUGGCCACAGCGAGAAAGGGCACCGACAAAACCAUUGGGUUGAUGGUCGAAGGUGGCCAGUGCCUUCGUAGGUGAGAGAAAUAUGGAUUUGCCGAUUUGCAAAAAAGAUAGUAGUGUUGCUCCUUCUAAUGGUGACCAGGUCAUGUGAACAGGACAAAAUAAAAGGGAAAAUGUGUUUGAUGGGAGGUGAAUAGGAAUUGCUAAUUAUUUAUGAUUUAUAAGAAAAAUGGUAAACUUCUUAUUGUAAAUAAUGAAUUCUAUUGUAAACGAGAUAUAAAUCAAACAUUGGAUGGUGAUGGAUGGUGUGGACUUUUAUGUCUACUCACUGAUUAUCAAAGUUGUACAUUAGGAAUUACAUGGUUUCAGAAGAUGGAACAGUUAUAAUAUCAUUAUUUUUCUAAAAAACUAAACCUAUCUCAUUUUAUGCUUGAUAGCCAAAACAUAUAAUUCUCUUGAUUGUUUGAUUUGCAUUAAUAAAUACUACCGUAACGUUAGUACGAGCAUAUUACUAGUAUACUAUAGUUGAUAAAAUACAGUGAUAAUAAAUUUAGCAUGCAUCAUCAUAUGAAGCUGACACUUGUAAAUAAAUAUGACAGCUUCAAAAGUAUCCUCAUGUGAAAUUUGAUUCUAAGACAAACAAACUUAGGCCCUGUUUAAGACCCUGUUUAGAUGGGAUUAAAACCUUUUAAUCUCUAUUGCAUCGGAUGUUUGGUCACUAAUUAUAAAUAUUAAACGUAGACUAUUAAUAAAACCCAUUCUAU